Molecule: non-coding RNA, 1293 nt
Organism: Camelina sativa (false flax)
Lineage: Eukaryota; Viridiplantae; Streptophyta; Magnoliopsida; Brassicales; Brassicaceae
Source: RefSeq, a predicted model, not a curated record
UCAUUAUUUGAUUUUAUCCAAAUUCAUGAUGAUGUUAAAAUUUUAUCUCUUUUUAUUUUAUUUUAUCAAAACCCAGUAUAUACAUUAUAAGUAUCCACUAUUUUAUGUUAAAAUUUACUCUCUUUUUUCCUUCUAUUAUUUUAUCCAAUGUCCAAACUCAUUACAAAUAUAUAUAUUCAACUGACCAUAAAAUAAAAAUAUAACAUAUACCAAUUCGUUAUGAAUUUAUGUAUUUGUGAACAUUCUCCCGCGCUGUAGCGCGGGUCCGGUCCUAGUUUCCGUUUAUGAGGCUAACUUUGCAUCGAGUUUGCAAGAAGUAAUACCAUCCCUUAUCACAAAAAUGGCUACGGCUCUCUCCAUUUCUCCUGGUCAGUUCUCCCUGUUAGCGUGGAGAGUACUGAUGGCUACUCAAGCCCUUGGAGAGUUUUACUCACUUGAAAUAGGAGUAGAUGAGAUUAUGUAUGCAUACUACUUUCUCCACUUGCAGACGACAUUGGUAUGUACUCUAUACACUCGUGACGCCCUAAUCGGUUGGUGUUUGAUCUUGAGUUAACUGAAAGAAGGAAGCUUGAAGGGUCCUGGUGACAAAGAUAUUUGUAUAUGAGGGUUGGUUAUAACCCAGGGUUUCCCACUGCUUGGUAUGACGCUGACGUCCGUACUAACAACCGUAUAGAAGGAGAAGCAACAAUCUCCAGACUGCUACUUCACGAUGUCAAACACCGCUGCAUCACCUUUCUUACUAGUGAAUUCGUUCUUGAGGAGUGAAGUUUUUGGGGAUUUGAUAUGUCGAGUGAUCAACAUCAUUAUGUGUCUGAUAAAUUUGCCUCUUUCCUUGCUGCUCGCGGAAAAAUUACUCGGGCGAAACAUACACCAGCUGGUUUGUCUCAUGACGUGGAAUGCGUUGAAAUAUCUGUUGCGAGCAAGUGUAAGACUUCUCAGGACAUUGCAUCAUUGUCGUCACUGAGACGAGGUAGACUGACCCAUGACAGUGCCCCCUCAACUGCGAUGGUUCCUUGUCGAGAGAUAGUGACCAACACUGACACUUAUUUGGUCAUUGAAGAGCUGAAGGCUAAAGUGUUUUCUCAUGACUUUGAGUCUCUAGAAGCUGAUGGGACUGCCACCAUCGCCAGCAUAGUUUACAAUGACCUUGUCCAGGCGAUGUCAUCGUACCAUCUUAUGGAAAUAAAGUUGUCAUCCACUAUUGUUGAAGUCGCCCACUAACGACAGUCAAUUGAUUCCCUCAAGCAACAACUUGAUCUCGAGAAGAAAGAAUCUUGUUCUGGCGUCGCAAAG